UUUUUUUUUUGCAUACAUCAUUGUAAAAUUAGCCAUUUUGAUGACCCUGAAACAGUGCUCCAGCACUCCAAAAUACAAUUUGAGUUAGAAAAAUACCGAUCAUGAUCGGUAACUUUUCAAUGUUAAAUAUAUUUAAACUAUUUGAAAAUGGAUACACUGUGUGCAUCUUAACUCUUAAAUAACUAAUGCAAAUAGCAAGAAUAAUGUUCUCCAACCAUUCUAAAUAAAUGCAAGUUGUACUGUACUUUUAGAGCUGUCAAUAAAUCUUCAAGAGUGAAACUCAAGGAAUACUCUUUUUGCAAGGUUUGUUUUGAUGGCUCCCAGUAGAUGGACUAGAGCAAAAUCCAUCUUAUGAGAUGAAGAAAGGGAGCCCAUUUGUUUUAUUAUUCAGAAUAGUCUCUUCUGUAUCUUUAUCUUAGAUGCAAAAAAGGACUUCUGUACCUUACUGAAGAAAUUCAGAUCUUUAUUUGCAGCAGUAAACAUGAACUGGCUUAUAUUUUCUAAUUCACGCUAAAAUAAGUAUCCCUAUUCUAUACUAAACAUGUAUGAUGUCAAGAUAUUUUAAACACCAAGAACAAAAUGUCCUUUUAAAAACUAUACUAUUCCUUAGUUAUUCAUUAAUUUGACAACUAUUCACAUUGAACAUUAAGGGCUAAGCAAUAUGGUAGACACGUGAGGAGACAAUGGCAAGCAAAAACUUGGCAGAACUUGCAGUGCAGUCAAGGAGAUGGAUAUUAAUCAAAUAGUUACCCAAAUAAAAAAUACUGUACCUGCAAAAUGGUAUCUGUAUUAGUCCAUUCUCAUGCUGCUAAUAAAGACAUAUGCAAGACUGGGUAAUUUAUAAAGGAAAGAGGUUUAAUUGACUCUCAGUUCAGCAUGGUUGGGGAGGCCUCGGGAAACUUACAAUCCUGGUGGAAGGGGACACAAACACGUCCUUUUUCAUAUGGCAGCAGCAAGGAGAAGAAUGAGCAAAGAGGGAAAACUCCCUUAUAAAACCAUCAGACCUCAUGAGAACUCACUCACUACCAUGAGAACAGCAGCAUAGGGGUAACUGCCCCCAUGAUUCAAUUACCUCCCACCAGGUCCUUCUCAUGACACAUAGGGAUUACGAGAACUACAAUUCAAGAUGAGAUCUGGGUGGAGACACAGCCAGACCCUAUCAGUAUCAAAGAGAACAUAGCCUUAUGUAAAGUGUGUAUAACAGGGCUAUGUGACUUGAUGACAUUAGGAAGGUUCUAUCAAGAAAGCUGUUAGUAACCCACCAUCGGAAGGAUGUUAGACACUAACCAGGCCAAUAAGAAAGCAAAAGCAUGAAAGAGAGAAAGAUACAACAUGUGCAAAUGUCUUAGAGUGGGAGGGAACAUGGCAAAUAUGAGGACCUAAAAGAUGAUAUUCUGUAUCUGGGAGAGAAAGGGUAGCAAAGAAGGGAACAUGGCACAAGAUGAGGCUGUAGAUGCAGGUUGACCAUAUAGAGUAUUUUAGCACAUAUUAUGCUUUGGCUUUGUUUUUAUUAAGUGCAAUAAGAAGCCAUUAAAGAUGUUAGAUAAGAGACAUACCUCCACUUUCCAUUCUUUUAUCCUAACUACCUACAGGCUUUCCACUGACCUUUCUCUCACCGUGUUCCAGGGAAAACAGAAU
Molecule: long non-coding RNA, 1638 nt
Filed under: Macaca fascicularis (crab-eating macaque)
Lineage: Eukaryota; Metazoa; Chordata; Mammalia; Primates; Cercopithecidae
Description: lncRNA (ENSMFAG00000062905.1)
Source: RNAcentral